AUGCAGUCGAGCGAACAGACGAGGAGCUUGCUCCUCUGACGUUAGCGGCGGACGGGUGAGUAACACGUGGAUAACCUACCUAUAAGACUGGGAUAACUUCGGGAAACCGGAGCUAAUACCGGAUAAUAUAUUGAACCGCAUGGUUCAAUAGUGAAAGACGGUUUUGCUGUCACUUAUAGAUGGAUCCGCGCCGCAUUAGCUAGUUGGUAAGGUAACGGCUUACCAAGGCAACGAUGCGUAGCCGACCUGAGAGGGUGAUCGGCCACACUGGAACUGAGACACGGUCCAGACUCCUACGGGAGGCAGCAGUAGGGAAUCUUCCGCAAUGGGCGAAAGCCUGACGGAGCAACGCCGCGUGAGUGAUGAAGGUCUUCGGAUCGUAAAACUCUGUUAUUAGGGAAGAACAAAUGUGUAAGUAACUAUGCACGUCUUGACGGUACCUAAUCAGAAAGCCACGGCUAACUACGUGCCAGCAGCCGCGGUAAUACGUAGGUGGCAAGCGUUAUCCGGAAUUAUUGGGCGUAAAGCGCGCGUAGGCGGUUUUUUAAGUCUGAUGUGAAAGCCCACGGCUCAACCGUGGAGGGUCAUUGGAAACUGGAAAACUUGAGUGCAGAAGAGGAAAGUGGAAUUCCAUGUGUAGCGGUGAAAU
Molecule: ribosomal RNA, 649 nt
Filed under: Staphylococcus epidermidis
Lineage: Bacteria; Bacillati; Bacillota; Bacilli; Caryophanales; Staphylococcaceae
Description: bacterial SSU rRNA
Rfam family: Bacterial small subunit ribosomal RNA
Source: RNAcentral